GAUGAACGCUGGCGGCGUGCCUAAUACAUGCAAGUCGAGCGAACGGACGAGAAGCUUGCUUCUCUGAUGUUAGCGGCGGACGGGUGAGUAACACGUGGAUAACCUACCUAUAAGACUGGGAUAACUUCGGGAAACCGGAGCUAAUACCGGAUAAUAUUUUGAACCGCAUGGUUCAAAAGUGAAAGACGGUCUUGCUGUCACUUAUAGAUGGAUCCGCGCUGCAUUAGCUAGUUGGUAAGGUAACGGCUUACCAAGGCAACGAUGCAUAGCCGACCUGAGAGGGUGAUCGGCCACACUGGAACUGAGACACGGUCCAGACUCCUAAGGGAGGCAGCAGUAGGGAAUCUUCCGCAAUGGGCGAAAGCCUGACGGAGCAACGCCGCGUGAGUGAUGAAGGUCUUCGGAUCGUAAAACUCUGUUAUGAGGGAAGAACAUAUGUGUAAGUAACUGUGCACAUCUUGACGGUACCUAAUCAGAAAGCCACGGCUAACUACGUG
This 497-nucleotide ribosomal RNA is filed under the name uncultured bacterium. Its description in RNAcentral is "partial 16S ribosomal RNA". It matches the Rfam family "Bacterial small subunit ribosomal RNA", at positions 28 to 507 of the family's 1533-position model. The record is from RNAcentral.